UUGGUUUCCUUUGUCAUUUUAAAUGUAUGAUCACAAGGGGAAAAAAUGGUCUUACUAUUACGAUUAACGCAUCAACAUCUUCUUAAUUUUCAAAUACUGUGCGUAAGCGAAUUGAGAGAUUCAGAACAGCAACACAGAGGUUUCGAUCCGUGCAGAUGGCAAUGCAAACUAAAAUAUUUCCGGUGAUAGCGAUCAAAAUAAAGAUGGCUAAGAUUACGGCGAUCGGCACUUGGACGAGCAGGGAAUGAUUCGCACUAGUAGGAACGGCCUGGUUAUUUGAUACCAAAACAUCGUGCGAGAAGUUGGAAAUCCGGUUCUCCAUAAAGUUUACCGGAUAUCACGCGGAACGUCGCUAAAAGCUGGUCGAUCGGGCUGCACAGAAGCGUCCUCCUUCCGUGGAACUUAUUCCCGCGCGUCCGAUACAACACACACUGUGGAUAAUGAGGGGGUUUUUUCGUCCACACAACCGGAAGAUUCUUCCCGGCAUUGUCAAUAUUAAAAGGCCAACUUUGAUAAAUUAAUCAUCUUUCAAACUCUUGAUUAUACAGACCCAGAAUUACAGUCGGCUUCCAAUUGUGCAGCAAGAGAGCAGCGAGACAGUUGUUAAAAUUUGUUUAUAAACUAUUAAUCAUCUGCCAUGAAGUGCAAGGCCAUAC
This is a long non-coding RNA of Paramacrobiotus metropolitanus, 656 nucleotides long. RefSeq lists it as uncharacterized. The record is from RefSeq and is a predicted model, not a curated record. NCBI's taxonomy places the organism in Eukaryota, Metazoa, Tardigrada, Eutardigrada, Parachela, Macrobiotidae. The transcript has 3 exons.